Molecule: transfer RNA, 64 nt
Filed under: Clymenella torquata (bamboo worm)
Lineage: Eukaryota; Metazoa; Annelida; Polychaeta; Maldanidae
Description: tRNA-Phe
Source: RNAcentral
AUUUUGGUAGCUUAUAUAAAAAGCAAAACACUGAAGCUGUUUAGAUGAAGAUAUUCCCAAAAUA